AUUUGUUGCGGCGAAAUAAAAUGAAUAUGCGUAUCCAAACCACCUGCUGUUACAAUCAAAUUUUCUCCCGCCAGGGCUUCUGUUGAAGCCCCCACUGUCAUUCCAGGAGUCACUCCAUCCAUAAUUGCAGGAUUUCCUGCCUUUCCAAUUCCCUGAAUGACUCCAUUUUUAAUUCCGAUAUCUGCUUUAUAAAUACCGGUAUAAUCAACGAUCAGUGCAUUCGUAAUUACAAGAUCUAGAUCUCCGUCUGCACUUGUCGUUGUUACUGACUGCCCCAUUCCAUCACG
RNAcentral lists this small RNA (287 nucleotides) under uncultured Anaerostipes sp. RNAcentral's name for it is "5' ureB small RNA". It matches the Rfam family "5' ureB small RNA". The record is from RNAcentral. Lineage: Bacteria; Bacillati; Bacillota; Clostridia; Lachnospirales; Lachnospiraceae.